RNAcentral lists this ribosomal RNA (1094 nucleotides) under human metagenome. RNAcentral's name for it is "bacterial LSU rRNA". It matches the Rfam family "Bacterial large subunit ribosomal RNA", at positions 1828 to 2925 of the family's 2925-position model. The record is from RNAcentral.
AACACGAAAGUGGACGUAUAGGGUGUGACGCCUGCCCGGUGCUGGAAGGUUAAUUGAAGAUGUGAGAGCAUCGGAUCGAAGCCCCAGUAAACGGCGGCCGUAACUAUAACGGUCCUAAGGUAGCGAAAUUCCUUGUCGGGUAAGUUCCGACCCGCACGAAUGGCGUAACGAUGGCCACACUGUCUCCUCCCGAGACUCAGCGAAGUUGAAGUGGUUGUGAAGAUGCAAUCUACCCGCUGCUAGACGGAAAGACCCCGUGAACCUUUACUGUAGCUUUGCAUUGGACUUUGAAGUCACUUGUGUAGGAUAGGUGGGAGGCUUAGAAGCAGAGACGCCAGUCUCUGUGGAGCCGUCCUUGAAAUACCACCCUGGUGUCUUUGAGGUUCUAACCCAGACCCGUAAUCCGGGUCGGGGACCGUGCAUGGUAGGCAGUUUGACUGGGGCGGUCUCCUCCCAAAGAGUAACGGAGGAGUUCGAAGGUUACCUAGGUCCGGUCGGAAAUCGGACUGAUAGUGCAAUGGCAAAAGGUAGCUUAACUGCGAGACCGACAAGUCGAGCAGGUGCGAAAGCAGGACAUAGUGAUCCGGUGGUUCUGUAUGGAAGGGCCAUCGCUCAACGGAUAAAAGGUACUCCGGGGAUAACAGGCUGAUUCCGCCCAAGAGUUCAUAUCGACGGCGGAGUUUGGCACCUCGAUGUCGGCUCAUCACAUCCUGGGGCUGUAGUCGGUCCCAAGGGUAUGGCUGUUCGCCAUUUAAAGUGGUACGUGAGCUGGGUUUAAAACGUCGUGAGACAGUUUGGUCCCUAUCUGCAGUGGGCGUUGGAAGUUUGACGGGGGCUGCUCCUAGUACGAGAGGACCGGAGUGGACGAACCUCUGGUGUACCGGUUGUAACGCCAGUUGCAUAGCCGGGUAGCUAAGUUCGGAAGAGAUAAGCGCUGAAAGCAUCUAAGCGCGAAACUCGCCUGAAGAUGAGACUUCCCUUGCGGUUUAACCGCACUAAAGAGUCGUUCGAGACCAGGACGUUGAUAGGUGGGGUGUGGAAGCGCGGUAACGCGUGAAGCUAACCCAUACUAAUUGCUCGUGAGGCUUGACUCU